UGGGGAAUUUUGGACAAUGGGCGAAAGCCUGAUCCCAGCAAUGCCGCGUGUGUGAAGAAGGCCUUCGGGUUGUAAAGCACUUUUGUCCGGAAAGAAAUCCUUGGCUCUAAUACAGUCGGGGGAUGACGGUACCGGAAGAAUAAGCACCGGCUAACUACGUGCCAGCAGCCGCGGUAAUACGUAGGGUGCAAGCGUUAAUCGGAAUUACUGGGCGUAAAGCGUGCGCAGGCGGUUUGCUAAGACCGAUGUGAAAUCCCCGGGCUCAACCUGGGAACUGCAUUGGUGACUGGCAGGCUAGAGUAUGGCAGAGGGGGGUAGAAUUCCACGUGUAGCAGUGAAAUGCGUAGAGAUGUGGAGGAAUACCGAUGGCGAAGGCAGCCCCCUGGGCCAAUACUGACGCUCAUGCACGAAAGCGUGGGGAGCAAACAGGAUUAGAUACCCUGGUAGUCCACGCCCUAAACGAUGUCAACUAGUUGUUGGGGAUUCAUUUCCUUAGUAACGUAGCUAACGCGUGAAGUUGACCGCCUGGGGAGUACGGUCGCAAGAUUAAAACUUAAAUGAAUUGACGGGGUCAUAGCUGUUUCCU
Molecule: ribosomal RNA, 586 nt
Filed under: uncultured bacterium
Lineage: Bacteria
Description: partial 16S ribosomal RNA
Rfam family: Bacterial small subunit ribosomal RNA
Source: RNAcentral